Molecule: ribosomal RNA, 253 nt
Filed under: uncultured bacterium
Lineage: Bacteria
Description: partial 16S ribosomal RNA
Rfam family: Bacterial small subunit ribosomal RNA
Source: RNAcentral
UACGUAGGGGGCAAGCGUUGUCCGGAUUUAUUGGGCGUAAAGAGCGUGUAGGCGGCCAGACAGGUCCGUUGUGAAAACUCGAGGCUCAACCUCGAGACGUCGAUGGAAACCGUCUGGCUAGAGUCCGGAAGAGGAGUGUGGAAUUCCUGGUGUAGCGGUGAAAUGCGCAGAUAUCAGGAAGAACACCUAUGGCGAAGGCAGCACUCUGGGACGGUACUGACGCUGAGACGCGAAAGCGUGGGGAGCGAGCAGG